GACCGCUCCGGUGGCUUAGUGGUUAGAGCGUCCGCCUCGGAUGCGGGAGCUUGCGGAUUGGAACACCGGCCGAGUCA
Non-coding RNA from Potamilus streckersoni, 77 nucleotides. NCBI's taxonomy places the organism in Eukaryota, Metazoa, Mollusca, Bivalvia, Unionida, Unionidae. The record is from the annotation of a GenBank genome assembly.